UACGGAGGGUGCGAGCGUUGUCCGGAAUCACUGGGCGUAAAGAGCGCGCAGGCGGUCGUAUAAGUCGAAUGUGAAAGCCCCCGGCUCAACUGGGGAGGGUCAUUCGAUACUGUUCGACUCGAAGGCAGGAGAGGGAAGUGGAAUUCCGGGUGUAGUGGUGAAAUGCGUAGAUAUCCGGAGGAACACCAGUGGCGAAGGCGACUUUCUGGCCUGUUCUUGACGCUGAGGCGCGAAAGCUAGGGGAGCAAACGGG
This 253-nucleotide ribosomal RNA is filed under the name uncultured prokaryote. Its description in RNAcentral is "partial 16S ribosomal RNA". It matches the Rfam family "Bacterial small subunit ribosomal RNA", at positions 524 to 776 of the family's 1533-position model. The record is from RNAcentral.